UGGAGCACGUGAAAUUCCGUGUGAAUCUGCGAGGACCACCUCGUAAGGCUAAAUAUUCCUGAAUGACCGAUAGCGAAAACAGUACCGCGAGGGAAAGGUGAAAAGAACCCCGGGAGGGGAGUGAAAAGAACAUGAAAACCAUAAAACUUACAAGCAGUAGGAGGACGACUAAAACGUCUGACUGCGUGCCUGUUGAAGAAUGAGCCGGCGACUUAUAGGUAGUGGCAGGGUUAAGGUAGUGAAUACCGAAGCCACAGUGAAAGGCGAGCCCUGAAUAGGGCGUUUGUCACUAGUUAUAGACCCCGAACCCGGGAUGAUCUAACCAUGGUCAGGUUGAAGCUUGGGUAAUACUAAGUGGAGGACCGAACCGACUGAUGUUGAAAAAUCAGCGGAUGAAUUGUGGUUAGGGGGUGAAAUGCCAAUCGAAUUCGGAGCUAGCUGGUUCUCCCCGAAAUGCGUUUAGGCGCAGCGGUAGAUGUUAUAAUUUAGGGGUAAAGCACUGUUACGUAUGCGGGCUGGUAAUUCGGUACCAAAUCGUUGC
RNAcentral lists this ribosomal RNA (541 nucleotides) under uncultured bacterium. RNAcentral's name for it is "bacterial LSU rRNA". It matches the Rfam family "Bacterial large subunit ribosomal RNA", at positions 418 to 950 of the family's 2925-position model. The record is from RNAcentral.